GCAGAGACAGUUUUUAAAAGCCAUCAACAAUUACACAAAGAUCACAAAAAUUGCAGCAGUGUUGAUGCAAACAGAGCAAGUGAGAUACGCACACCCUCGUCUUCAGAGCUCCGUCCGUCUGGUCCGUAUGGCUCUGGCUCUGCAGAGCACACAAGCACCGUAGUUACAGGUAAACACAGCCCCACGUUGGCAUCUGAUAUGCAUGUGAUACGCUCGCUCACACAUACUCACUCACACUCUCGCAUAUGCACGCACAGAAACUCAGAACACACAUAUACAUAAGGUUUCGGUAGUUGAGGUCUGAAAUGGACUGUACAAUCUGACGGAUCUCUCGCUCCCUCUCCUCCACCACCAGUGUGUUCUGCUCCACCAGCACCAGCUGGUCAUCCGUGAAACCCUGUCCCAUACAGAGUAGCAUCAUCUCCAUCAUCCAUUAGUGGUACCGGGGUGUCGAAGAAAUGCUGCGAUCUUUCCUCUCGGUUUUUCAUGCCUAGCAG
Molecule: long non-coding RNA, 497 nt
Filed under: Rattus norvegicus (Norway rat)
Lineage: Eukaryota; Metazoa; Chordata; Mammalia; Rodentia; Muridae
Description: long non-coding RNA NONRATT020031
Source: RNAcentral